CAGCAGCCGCGGUAAUACGAAGGGGGCUAGCGUUGCUCGGAAUCACUGGGCGUAAAGGGUGCGUAGGCGGGUCUUUAAGUCAGGGGUGAAAUCCUGGAGCUCAACUCCAGAACUGCCUUUGAUACUGAAGAUCUUGAGUUCGGGAGAGGUGAGUGGAACUGCGAGUGUAGAGGUGAAAUUCGUAGAUAUUCGCAAGAACACCAGUGGCGAAGGCGGCUCACUGGCCCGAUACUGACGCUGAGGCACGAAAGCGUGGGGAGCAAACAGGAUUAGAGACCCCCGAGUCCCUGUCUCUUAUACA
This 301-nucleotide ribosomal RNA is filed under the name uncultured bacterium. RNAcentral's name for it is "partial 16S ribosomal RNA". It matches the Rfam family "Bacterial small subunit ribosomal RNA", at positions 509 to 808 of the family's 1533-position model. The record is from RNAcentral.